This 534-nucleotide ribosomal RNA is filed under the name Pseudoalteromonas ruthenica. Its description in RNAcentral is "bacterial SSU rRNA". It matches the Rfam family "Bacterial small subunit ribosomal RNA", at positions 379 to 906 of the family's 1533-position model. The record is from RNAcentral. Lineage: Bacteria; Pseudomonadati; Pseudomonadota; Gammaproteobacteria; Alteromonadales; Pseudoalteromonadaceae.
CAGCCUGAUGCAGCCAUGCCGCGUGUGUGAAGAAGGCCUUCGGGUUGUAAAGCACUUUCAGCAAGGAGGAAAGGGUGUAAGUUAAUACCUUACAUCUGUGACGUUACUUGCAGAAGAAGCACCGGCUAACUCCGUGCCAGCAGCCGCGGUAAUACGGAGGGUGCGAGCGUUAAUCGGAAUUACUGGGCGUAAAGCGUACGCAGGCGGUUUGUUAAGCGAGAUGUGAAAGCCCCGGGCUUAACCUGGGAACUGCAUUUCGAACUGGCAGGCUAGAGUGUGAUAGAGGGUGGUAGAAUUUCAGGUGUAGCGGUGAAAUGCGUAGAGAUCUGAAGGAAUACCGAUGGCGAAGGCAGCCACCUGGGUCAACACUGACGCUCAUGUACGAAAGCGUGGGGAGCAAACAGGAUUAGAUACCCUGGUAGUCCACGCCGUAAACGAUGUCUACUAGGAGCUCGGCUUUUCGGAGCUGUUUUCCAAAGCAAACGCAUUAAGUAGACCGCCUGGGGAGUACGGCCGCAAGGUUAAAACUUAAAG